GAUGAACGCUGGCGGCGUGCCUAAUACAUGCAAGUCGAGCGAACAGACGAGGAGCUUGCUCCUCUGACGUUAGCGGCGGACGGGUGAGUAACACGUGGAUAACCUACCUAUAAGACUGGGAUAACUUCGGGAAACCGGAGCUCAUAUCGGAUAAUAUAUUGAACCGCAUGGUUCAAUAGUGAAAGACGGUUUUGCUGUCACUUAUAGAUGGAUCCGCGCCGCAUUAGGUAGUUGGUAAGGUAACGGCUUACCAAGGCAACGAUGCGUAGCCGACCCGAGAGGGUGAUCGGCCAGACUGGAACAGAGACUCGGUCCAGACUCCGACGGGAGGCAGCAGUAGGGAAUCUUCCGCGAGGGACGAAUGCCUGACGGUGCAACGCCGCGUGAGUGAUGAAGGUCUUCGGAUCGGAAAGCGCUGUUAUUAGUGAAGAAGAAAUGUGUAAGUAACUAGGCACGUCUUGACGGUACCUAAGCAGAAAGCCACGGCUAACUACGUG
This 497-nucleotide ribosomal RNA is filed under the name uncultured bacterium. Its description in RNAcentral is "partial 16S ribosomal RNA". It matches the Rfam family "Bacterial small subunit ribosomal RNA", at positions 28 to 507 of the family's 1533-position model. The record is from RNAcentral.